RNAcentral lists this ribosomal RNA (473 nucleotides) under uncultured bacterium. RNAcentral describes it as "bacterial SSU rRNA". It matches the Rfam family "Bacterial small subunit ribosomal RNA", at positions 29 to 500 of the family's 1533-position model. The record is from RNAcentral.
AUUGAACGCUGGCGGCAUGCCUUACACAUGCAAGUCGAACGGCAGCACGGGAGCAAUCCUGGUGGCGAGUGGCGAACGGGUGAGUAAUACAUCGGAACGUGCCCAGUUGUGGGGGAUAGCCCGGCGAAAGCCGGAUUAAUACCGCAUACGACCUAUGGGUGAAAGCGGGGGAUCGCAAGACCUCGCGCAAUUGGAGCGGCCGAUGUCAGAUUAGGUAGUUGGUGGGGUAAAAGCCCACCAAGCCGACGAUCUGUAGCUGGUCUGAGAGGACGACCAGCCACACUGGGACUGAGACACGGCCCAGACUCCUACGGGAGGCAGCAGUGGGGAAUUUUGGACAAUGGGCGCAAGCCUGAUCCAGCCAUGCCGCGUGUGGGAAGAAGGCCUUCGGGUUGUAAACCACUUUGUCAGGGAGAAACGGCUUAGUCUAAUACGCUGAGCUAAUGACGGUACCUGAAGAUAAGCACGGCUAA